RNAcentral lists this long non-coding RNA (4930 nucleotides) under Sus scrofa (pig). Its description in RNAcentral is "lncRNA (ENSSSCG00000053704.1)". The record is from RNAcentral. Lineage: Eukaryota; Metazoa; Chordata; Mammalia; Artiodactyla; Suidae.
CUUUGAGGAAGUCUGGACACCACCAGUCUGUUCCUCUGGGGAGGCUGUCUUACUGGGCUUGGCGGAAGGAAGUUUAUACUCACAAGGUCCCAGGGCGCUGGGAAUCCUGGCCCACCAGGAGUGACCAAGCAGCUGUGUCCCGGGAGGUGGCUCUCCUGCACCUGGCAGGGCUGUGUCACCUUGGGAGAGGUUUAAAAAUACAGGUUCCUGGAGUUCUCGAUGUGGCUCAGUGGUUAGUGAAUCCGACUAGGCACCAUAAGGUUGAAGGUUCAAUUCUUGGCCUUGCUUAGUGGGUUAAGGAUCCGGUGUUGCCAUGAGCUGUGGUGUGGGGUCGCAGACACAGCUCGGAUCCCGAGUUGCUGUGGCUGUGGUGUAGGCCAGCAGCUACAGCUCUGAGUGGACCCCUAGCCUGGGAACCUCCAUAUGCCGCGGGAAGCAGCCCUAGAAAAGACACACACACACACACACACACACCGCACACACAUACACACACACAUUCAUCCUGAGUUCGCUCAGUGGGUUAAGGAUCCCACAGUGCCGUGAGCUGUGGUGUGGUCGCUGUGGCUGUGGCGAAGGAUCGCAGCUAUUGCUCUGAUUCAACCUCUAGCCUGGGAACUUCCACAAGCCUCGGGUGCACCCUAGAAAAAACAAACCAAAAAUCAAAACAGGUUCCUGAACGACCCACCUCCACACUGAAUCCAAAGGUCUCGGGUGGGGAUUCUGUUUCUCUUUGUAAAGAAGGUAAAUUAAAGGAUAAAGUAAAAGUGGAUCCUAAGUGCUACUACCUGGUUAGCUCUGUUUAGUUUGUUUUUGUUUUUGGCCACACUGGCAUGUGGAAGUUCCCUGGGCCAGGGUUGAACCUGCACUGCAGCAGUGAUAAUGCUGGGUCCUUAACCUGCUAGACCACGAGAGAACUCCACCUCAGUGUACAUUGUACAUCCAUAAUACGUGCACUUAGAAAAAUAGUACGAAAAAGUUCAAGGUGAAAUGUCUCCUGGAUGUCAUCCUGUGUGUAGUUGAGCCUGGAGUUGUGUGGCCUGCGACCAUGAGGGAAGCAGGGCCAAGGCUGAUGAAAACAGCAGAAAACAAAGGACUCUGGUCCCCGAGCAAUGCCAGCCAUUGCAUUAACUCAGUUUGGAAGAGCAUUCCAGAAAAUGAGGGUGGAGUGCACCUCCUCCCAUCCCUGCAGACCCUAAGCCUCCCUACCUCAUCCAGAGUGACUGGGUGCACAUGAAAAAGAAUUGCUACGCAUGUACUUGAAUAUAUGUGUUCUCGAGAAACUAUAUAAAAGGUCACAAGCGCUUUCAACUGCAUUUUUGUUUUCAGUUAAAAUAGGUUAGAGCUCUUCCCUCACCCGCCCCUACAGAUGUGGACCUUGUGUUAGUCAUGAAUAUUGCAACGAAAAGCUCCUCGUAGGCAGGUCCGCCAGCUGCACUUUCCGGAUGAGGAAGAGUGAGACUUGGGUGGCCGCUGCCCGGCGCGUGUGCGGGGCGCCUGGAACCUCGUGGCCAGUCACCCACUCACCCACCCAGGCCUCGGUUUCCCGCUGGUGAGGGGCUUGUUGGUGAGGGCGGGAUGAGGCGGUGCCGCACGGGAAGGGGCCCUGGCUUCCAGUGAGCACCAAGCGCCUCAUCCCGGCUGCUGCGAGGCCGCAGGGCCGCCGAGGCCCCCAGGCCAGAGGGGGCGCUCUGGGGAGGAGGGGUCGGCGAGGGACCACCACGGAGGGAAGGGGUGGGCUGUGCCCAGCGGCGCCGCCUGGGACCCGACGUGCGGGAGACGGAGCUGCGCAGUGAACCCCGCUUUAAACCCGCUCGCUAGGCCCCGCGCAGCGGGCGCGCCUCCAGCUCAGGAAGCCCGAGCGCCGACAGGGUAGGCGGCCAGCGCGUCCCCGCUGGGGCUUGUUUCCUCCUCACAGGGGCUUACGCCGCCGGGGGUGGGGGCCUCAAGGCUCAGGGGGGUCGUUUCCAGGCUCUGGGCCGCGAGCCGGCUCUGUCCCAGGCUAGGGAGGACCAGGGCCCGAGGCCGCAGUGCUGUCACCCGCGCUGGCGUUCUCCGAAGGUGGCGGCCUGGGCGUCCCCUUCCUGGGCAUGACCUAGCAGGUCGUACCGGGCGGGGUGUGGGGGUGGUCACCGCACUGGACCCUUCCCCAGAGGCCCAUCCUUAUGAGCUUUUGCUCCAGGUCUUAGGGGUGCUGGAUUUUGAUUUCCUCCCUUUGACCCAUUGGUGGCGAAGGCCGCCCCUUUAUUCUUCCUGGUUUGUGUUCACUCAGCUCAGCGGCCCUUCCCCACCAUCCUCUCAAGCCCUUGUUCUCAUCCGGUGGUCAUUUCAUUUACUGGUUUACUUUUGAGCUGCGUCUGCCUUUCCUGGACUGUGUCGUGGGCCCUUUACCUGUCACUGUGCCUGCCACCGAGCAGACAUCCGGGAGGAAAUACUUGUUGAUAGGAUGAGGGGAUCCCCAUUUGACAGAUAAGACAGAGGCACCAGAAGCUUCAGGUGGUGCCUCAGCCAGGAUCUGAACCCACAUCUGUCUGCUUCCGCCCUGUGUAGAAGGCGCCUGAGCAUUCCACGUCCAGGUGGAUCAAAUUCACUAGGAUUGGGACCAUGGGCAGAUUACCUUAACUGGAGCCUCAGUGUCCUCUUGCAGAGUGGGGAUGGCCUGGGUUAACUACCGCCCAGGAAUAUGAGCGUGUAGAUUACCUGACGCUUUCAUUUUGGGGGCCUGGAUGGGGACUGAAAGAUCCCUGUGUGAUCUGGUCAACUUGGAUGAACUUGGAUUGAGUUUGAGAACGUCUCUCAGUUGCAUACUAUUAGUGACGCAAGCAGAUACUGGUGUUCCUUCACCCAAGAGCCAUGCACCUGGCAAAGGCCUGACCCUCCCAAAGGCCUGACCCCUGUAGGGACCCAGCAUUGGCCUUGAGCCUGUCCCUUAGGCUGGGAGUCCCACAUUCUCCGGUGGCGACUCACUUCCUGUUUCGGCCUGGAAUUUGGAUGACAGAGAAACAGCACUGUGUCAGCUCCAUGGAAAAGGCUGGGUCUGCCCACCAGAGCCUUAAAGGGACAGCCCUUCUAGGGCAGGGCUUGUCCUGGGGAUUCCUGGUGGUGAGUGGGGUGCUGAUGCAUGGGGCCAGAGAUCGGGAGUCAGGAUUUGAGAGCCCGGGGGCGGUGGGGGGGGGGUGUCUGCUGCCAGAUCCCAUGGGCCUCUUUUCCUCUAAAGACUCUCUUCCACCCUCUUCCACCUCCCAGUGCCCAAUCCAGUUGUUGGGCCAUUGUGGAAGGACCUGCUCUGCCAGGACUUCACUCCUUAAUCCUGUUGAGCUCGGUGCUUGGUCUGGGCCUCUGCUAUUAAACUGGGUAACGGUACCCUACGCUGACUGUGAAAAUUCCAUGAAGUCCUGUUCGUCCAAGGUGGUACACUCAGAUGCUGAUGGGGUCAGAUCCAUGAGUGAAGCUGUCAUGCCUGUGACGAAGGUGAAUUGCAGGGUGCACAGCUGCUUAAGGAAGCUUUAGUUCAACACAUGCUGGUGGCCCAAUUAAGCACCUUCUGUAGGUCAGGGCUCCUGGGACGAUGGGUGGAUGCCUUUCCAAGCUCCUUUAAGAACGGCUAUUCAGCUUUCUGGGGCUCAUCUUGCCCACCUUUAAAAUGGGUCCUCAGUUCCCGUCAUGGCUCAGUGGAAACAAAUCUGACCGGCAUCACAAGGACGAAGGUUCGAUCCCUUGCCUCGCUCAGUGGGUCAUGGAUCCGGCAUUGCCAUGAGCUGUGGUGCAGGUGGCAGACGCGGCUCAGAUCUGAUGUUGCUGUGGCUGUGGUGUAGACCAGCAGCUACAGCUCCGAUUUAACACCCUAGCCUGGGCACCUCCAUAUGCCGUGGGUGCGGCCCUAAAAAGCAAUAAAUAAAUAAGUAAAUAAAAUGGGCCCUCUCACCAGUCCUGGAUUUGGGGUCUGGCUUGAGACACUCGGGACUCUGUGACCUGUGAUGUGCAGUUACUUAUUCUCAGGGUUUGGCUCCUGCUCUCUGACCCCCCAACUCCCUCCCAUUCCCAGACUGUACCACCCCGGUUCUGGUGGUGCCUUAGGGCUGCCCUCCAGGGCUUUGUCUCAGAAGCCCUUCCUAGGCCCCAGCUAUGGCUGUCAUCCUUCUGUUAGCUUUCGGCAGGAGACAUGGCUGUGGGCAGAGCAGGCUUGGGCUUCUCUGAGUGCAGCAGGGUGGGCCAAAACAAACAGGAAGUCCACCAGUCCUGCAGGAAUUUGUGUUAUGGCCACAGGGAGAUGAAGGGCUAGUCAUACUGAUAACCCCAUUUCUCUUGGGUGUUUUACAUGCAUAUCCCAUGGCAAGGUUGCUGCAACCCCUAAGGCAUGUGUCUGUGUCUGUGUUGCCAUGGGAGAAGCUGCUGCUCAGAAAGGUUGAGUGACUUGUCUGAGGAUACCCAGCUGGGACUCAAAUUUGGAAUUUUCUCUCUCUCAAGUCUAGACUCUCUCCUCCUGUGUUACUUUCUUUACCUGGUCAAGAUACAAUCCAUGUUUUCAUGGAGUUUGUAGGGAGUUCCCGAUGUGGCUUAGAGGGUUUAGAACCCGACAUGGUGUUGAUGAGGAUGAUGUGGGUUCGAUCCCUGGCCUCUCUGAAAUGUGGCUCCAGUUCUGGUGUUGCUGUGGCUGUGGUGUAGACCAGCAGCUGCAGCUCUGAUUCACCCUUAGCCCAGGGACUUCCGUAUGCCACAGGUGUGGCCAUAAAAAGAAAAACAAAAAUCAUGAGUUCCCGUCGUGGCUCAGUGGUUAACAAAUCCGACUAGGAACCAUGAGGUUGCGGGUUCGAUCCCUGGCCUUGCUCAGUGGGUUAAGGAUCUGGUGUUGCUGUGAGCUGUGGUGUAGGUCGCAGACGCGGCACCAAUCCCACGUGUUGCUGUGUCUCUGGCGUAGGCUGGUGGCUACAGC